UACGGAGGGUGCAAGCGUUAUCCGGAUUUAUUGGGUUUAAAGGGUCCGUAGGCGGACUUAUAAGUCAGUGGUGAAAGCCUGUCGCUCAACGAUGGAACUGCCAUUGAUACUGUUUUUCUUGAGUGUAAUUGAAGUGGGCGGAAUGUGUCAUGUAGCGGUGAAAUGCAUAGAUAUGACACAGAACACCGAUUGCGAAGGCAGCUCGCCAGCUGAGUAUUGACGCUGAGGCACGAAAGCGUGGGGAUCGAACAGG
This 253-nucleotide ribosomal RNA is filed under the name uncultured bacterium. Its description in RNAcentral is "partial 16S ribosomal RNA". It matches the Rfam family "Bacterial small subunit ribosomal RNA", at positions 524 to 776 of the family's 1533-position model. The record is from RNAcentral.